This is a long non-coding RNA of Meriones unguiculatus (Mongolian gerbil), 336 nucleotides long. RefSeq lists it as uncharacterized. The record is from RefSeq and is a predicted model, not a curated record. The transcript is spliced from 3 exons. Lineage: Eukaryota; Metazoa; Chordata; Mammalia; Rodentia; Muridae.
GUCUUGGACCUAGCAAGACUAGCACCCUUCUGCCUGGAGUUAGUCACCCCUUCAUAAAGCUGUGCGUGGAAACCAGGACCUAGGGACAGAUCUUCCCAGGGCUUUCGAAGCCAGAAUCUGCAUGAGACUUUCCAAGAUGGUGACACAAGGGCGCACAUGGACACCCACUGCUCACAAGGGCUGCAAGCUUCUGCUUCCGUUCUGUUCAGAUGUGAAGAGUUUGAGCCUCGUGCCCCUGCUACCAGGACCUCUGCCAUAACUUCCUCUGCUAAAGGCAACCAAACAAACCCGUCAUUUCUUGUUAUUUUUCAGAGAAACAAGAAAAGUAACUAAUAC